GCCAGACUCCUACGGGAGGCAGCAGUGGGGGAUAUUGCACAAUGGGGGAAACCCUGAUGCAGCGACGCCGCGUGAGUGAAGAAGUAUUUCGGUAUGUAAAGCUCUAUCAGCAGGGACGAAAAUGACGGUACCUGAGUAAGAAGCCCCGGCUAACUACGUGCCAGCAGCCGCGGUAAUACGUAGGGGGCAAGCGUUAUCCGGAUUUACUGGGUGUAAAGGGAGCGUAGACGGUUAUGCAAGUCUGGAGUGAAAGGCGGGGGCGCAACCCCGGGACUGCUCUGGAAACUGUAGAACUAGAGUGCAGGAGGGGUAAGUGGAAUUCCUAGUGUAGCGGUGAAAUGCGUAGAUAUUAGGAGGAACACCAGUGGCGAAGGCGGCUUACUGGACUGUAACUGACGCUGAGGCACGAAAGCGUGGGGAGCGAACAGGAUUAGAUACCCUGGUAAA
RNAcentral lists this ribosomal RNA (447 nucleotides) under uncultured bacterium. Its description in RNAcentral is "bacterial SSU rRNA". It matches the Rfam family "Bacterial small subunit ribosomal RNA", at positions 330 to 794 of the family's 1533-position model. The record is from RNAcentral.